RNAcentral lists this ribosomal RNA (530 nucleotides) under Arthrosaura reticulata. RNAcentral's name for it is "partial 16S ribosomal RNA". It matches the Rfam family "Bacterial large subunit ribosomal RNA", at positions 1808 to 2612 of the family's 2925-position model. The record is from RNAcentral. Lineage: Eukaryota; Metazoa; Chordata; Lepidosauria; Squamata; Gymnophthalmidae.
CAAAAACAUAGCCUUUAGCACCCCAACUAUUAAAGGUGAUGCCUGCCCAGUGAUUCACUUAANCGGCCGCGGGAUCUUCCACCGUGCAAAGGUAGCAUAAUCACUUGUCCCCUAAAUAGAGACUAGUAUGAAUGGCCCCAUGAGGAUUUUCCUGUCUCUUGUAGUCAAUCUAUGAAACUGAUCUUUCAGUACAAAAGCUGAAAUAUUAACAUAAGACGAAAAGACCCUGUGGAACUUAAACCGGCAAUCAUAUUUAUGAUUUUUUCCCGUUUUUAGUUGGGGCAACUAUGGAAUAAAACAGAACUUCCAUUCCCUCCUCCCAGGUAGACACACCCAUAUAUUUUUCCUGACCCAGCAGUAACGCUGAUUAAAGAACCAAGCUACCCCAGGGAUAACAGCGCUAUCCCCUCUUAGAGCCCCCAUCGAUGAGGGGGUUUACGACCUCGAUGUUGGAUCAGGGCCUCCAAACAGUGCAGCAGCUGUUUACGGUUUGUUUGUUCAACAACUAAUGCCCUACGUGAUCUGAGUUC